This 492-nucleotide ribosomal RNA is filed under the name uncultured bacterium. RNAcentral's name for it is "partial 16S ribosomal RNA". It matches the Rfam family "Bacterial small subunit ribosomal RNA", at positions 29 to 507 of the family's 1533-position model. The record is from RNAcentral.
AGUGAACGCUGGCGGUAGGCCUAACACAUGCAAGUCGAACGGCAGCACAGUAAGAGCUUGCUCUUACGGGAGGCGAGUGGCGGACGGGGGAGGAAUACAGCGGAAUAUACGUUUUAGUGGGGGAUAACGUAGGGAAACUUACGCUAAAACCGCAUACGACCUACGGGUGAAAGCAGGGGAGCUUCGGACCUUGCGCGAUUGAAUGAGCCGAUGUCGGAUUAGCUAGUUGGCGGGGUAAAGGCCCACCAAGGCGACGAUCCGUAGCUGGUCUGAGAGGAUGGGCAGCCACACUGGAACUGGGACACGGUCCAGACUCCUACGGGAGGCAGCAGUGCGGAAUAUUGGACAAUGGGCGCAAGCCUGAUCCAGCCAUACCGCGUGGGUGAAGAAGGCCUUCGGGUUGUAAAGCCCUUUUGUUGGGAAAGAAAAGCAGCAGGUUAAUACCCCGCUGUUCUGACGGUACCCAAAGAAUAAGCACCGGCUAACUUCGUG